AGAUUGAACGCUGGCGGCAUGUCUUACACAUGCAAGUCGAACGGCGGCACGGGGGCAACCCUGGUGGCGAGUGGCGAACGGGUGAGUAAUGCAUCGGAACGUGCCCAGUAGUGGGGGAUAACUAGUCGAAAGAUUAGCUAAUACCGCAUACGACCUAUGGGUGAAAGCGGGGGAUUCGCAAGAACCUCGCGCUAUCGGAGCGGCCGAUGUCUGAUUAGCUAGUUGGCGGGGUAAAAGCCCACCAAGGCUUCGAUCAGUAGCUGGUCUGAGAGGACGACCAGCCACACUGGGACUGAGACACGGCCCAGACUCCUACGGGAGGCAGCAGCGGGGGAAUUUUGGACAAUGGGCGCAAGCCUGAUCCAGCCAUGCCGCGUGCGGGAAGAAGGCCUCGGUGUAA
This 400-nucleotide ribosomal RNA is filed under the name uncultured soil bacterium. Its description in RNAcentral is "bacterial SSU rRNA". It matches the Rfam family "Bacterial small subunit ribosomal RNA", at positions 26 to 428 of the family's 1533-position model. The record is from RNAcentral.